Molecule: ribosomal RNA, 425 nt
Filed under: uncultured prokaryote
Description: bacterial SSU rRNA
Rfam family: Bacterial small subunit ribosomal RNA
Source: RNAcentral
UCUAGAGGCUUCGUCAAUGGGGGAAACCCUGAACGAGCGACGCCGCGUGUGGGAUUGAAGGCCUUCGGGUCGUAAACCACUGUCAAGCGGGAAGAAUGCCCGGAUGGCGAAUCCGGGAGCGACGGUACCGCUGGAGGAAGCCCCGGCUAACUCCGUGCCAGCAGCCGCGGUAAUACGGAGGGGGCCAGCGUUGUUCGGAUUUCCUGGGCGUAAAGGGUGUGUAGGCGGUUGCGCAAGUCUGGUGUGAAAUCUUCACCGCUCAACGGGAAGAGGUCAUUGGAAACUGCGUAACUCGAGUAUGGAAGAGGCAAGCGGAAUUCCUGGUGUAGCGGUGGAAUGCGUAGAUAUCAGGAAGAACACCGGUGGCGAAGGCGGCUUGCUGGGCCAUCACUGACGCUGAGACACGAAAGCGUGGGGAGCAAACG